RNAcentral lists this ribosomal RNA (346 nucleotides) under uncultured marine group I thaumarchaeote. RNAcentral's name for it is "bacterial SSU rRNA". It matches the Rfam family "Archaeal small subunit ribosomal RNA", at positions 1 to 352 of the family's 1478-position model. Lineage: Archaea; Thermoproteati; Nitrososphaerota. The record is from RNAcentral.
UUCUGGUUGAUCCUGCCGGACCUGACUGCUAUCGGAUUGAUACUAAGCCAUGCGAGUCUUUGUAGUAAUACAAGGCAUACGGCUCAGUAACGCGUAGUCAACCUACCCUAUGGACAAGAAUAAUCUCGGGAAACUGAGCAUAAUUCUUGAUAGAUCAUAAUGCCUGGAAUGGUUUAUGGUUAAAAUGAUUCGUCGCCAUAGGAUGGGACUGCGGCCUAUCAGCUUGUUGGUGAGGUAAUGGCCCACCAAGGCGAUUACAGGUACGGGCUCUGAGAGGAGAAGCCCGGAGAUGGGUACUGAGACAAGGACCCAGGCCCUAUGGGGCGCAGCAGGCGAGAAAACUUUG